AAUCAACGCUGGCGGCGUGCCUCAGACAUGCAAGUCGAACGAUUAAAGCUCUCUUCGGAGAGUGCAUAGAGUGGCGCACGGGUGAGUAACACGUAAGUAAUCUACCCUCGAGUGGGGAAUAACGUCCGGAAACGGACGCUAAUACCGCAUAAUGCAGCGGCACCGCAAGGUGACAGUUGUUAAAGAUUUAUCGCUUGAGGAGGAGCUUGCGGCAGAUUAGCUAGUUGGUAAGGUAAUGGCUUACCAAGGCUACGAUCUGUAACCGGUCUUAGAGGACGGUCGGUCACACUGACACUGAAUAACGGGUCAGACUCCUACGGGAGGCAGCAGUCGGGAAUUUUGGGCAAUGGGCGAAAGCCUGACCCAGCAACGCCGCGUGAAGGAUGAAGUAUUCGGUAUGUAAACUUCGAAAGAAUAGAAGAAUAAAUGACGGUACUAUUUAU
This 443-nucleotide ribosomal RNA is filed under the name uncultured bacterium. RNAcentral's name for it is "bacterial SSU rRNA". It matches the Rfam family "Bacterial small subunit ribosomal RNA", at positions 32 to 485 of the family's 1533-position model. The record is from RNAcentral.